This 253-nucleotide unclassified non-coding RNA is filed under the name uncultured Bacteroidota bacterium. Its description in RNAcentral is "uncultured Bacteroidetes bacterium contains 16S-23S intergenic spacer region". It matches the Rfam family "Bacterial small subunit ribosomal RNA", at positions 524 to 776 of the family's 1533-position model. The record is from RNAcentral. Lineage: Bacteria; Pseudomonadati; Bacteroidota.
UACGUAGGUGGCAAGCGUUGUCCGGAAUUAUUGGGCGUAAAGGGUGCGUAGGCGGGAGCCUGAGUCUGUGGUGAAAUCUUGCCGCUUAACGGUAAAAUGGCCAUGGAUACUGGGUUUCUUGAGUACAGAAGAGGUCGGUGGAAUUCGUAGUGUAGCGGUGAAAUGCAUAGAUAUUACGAAGAACACCAGUGGGGAAGGCGGCCGGCUGGACUGUAACUGACGCUGAGGCACGAAAGCGUGGGGAGCGAACAGG